This 1320-nucleotide ribosomal RNA is filed under the name uncultured Alphaproteobacteria bacterium. RNAcentral's name for it is "bacterial SSU rRNA". It matches the Rfam family "Bacterial small subunit ribosomal RNA", at positions 27 to 1394 of the family's 1533-position model. The record is from RNAcentral. Lineage: Bacteria; Pseudomonadati; Pseudomonadota; Alphaproteobacteria.
GAACGUACGCUGGCGGCACGCCUAACACAUGCAAGUCGAACGAAGUAGCAAUACUUAGUGGCAGACGGGUGAGUAACAUGUAGGUAUCUGCCCUUUGGCCUGGAAUAACACGAGGAAACUUGUGCUAAUACCGGAUAAGUCUUUACGGAGAAAGCUUUAUGCACCAUUGGAUGAGCCUGCACUUGAUUAGUUUGUUGGUAGGGUAAUGGCCUACCAAGACUGUGAUCAAUAGCUGAUUUGAGAGGAUGAUCAGCCACAUUGGGACUGAGACACGGCCCAAACUCCUACGGGAGGCAGCAGUGGGGAAUCUUGCACAAUGGAGGAAACUCUGAUGCAGCGAUGCCGCGUGAGUGAAGAAGGCCUUUGGGUUGUAAAGCUCUUUCGUCGGGGAAGAAAAUGACUGUACCCGAAUAAGAAGGUCCGGCUAACUUCGUGCCAGCAGCCGCGGUAAUACGAAGGGACCUAGCGUAGUUCGGAAUUACUGGGCUUAAAGAGUUCGUAGGUGGUUGAAAAAGUUGGUGGUGAAAUCCCAGAGCUUAACUCUGGAACUGCCAUCAAAACUUUUCAGCUAGAGUUUGAUAGAGGAAAGCAGAAUUUCUAGUGUAGAGGUGAAAUUCGUAGAUAUUAGAAAGAAUACCAAUUGCGAAGGCAGCUUUCUGGAUCAUUACUGACACUGAGGAACGAAAGCAUGGGUAGCGAAGAGGAUUAGAUACCCUCGUAGUCCAUGCCGUAAACGAUGUGUGUUAGACGUUGGAAAUUUAUUUUCAGUGUCGCAGCGAAAGCGAUAAACACACCGCCUGGGGAGUACGACCGCAAGGUUAAAACUCAAAUGAAUUGACGGGGACCCGCACAAGUAGUGGAGCAUGUGGUUUAAUUCGAAGAUACGCGCAGAACCUUACCAACACUUGACAUGUUCGUCGCGACUCUAAGAGAUUAGAGUUUUCGGUUCGGCCGGACGAAACACAGGUGCUGCAUGGCUGUCGUCAGCUCGUGUCGUGAGAUGUUGGGUUAAGUCCCGCAACGAGCGCAACCCUCACUUUUAGUUGCCAUCAUUAAGUUGGGCACUCUGAAAGAACUGCCAGUGAUAAGCUGGAGGAAGGUGGGGAUGACGUCAAGUCCUCAUGGCCCUUACGUGUUGGGCUACACACGUGCUACAAUGGUAUCUACAACAGGAAGCAAAACUGCGAAGUUAAGCAAAUCCCUAAAAGAUACCUCAGUUCGGAUUGCACUCUGCAACUCGAGUGCAUGAAGCUGGAAUUACUAGUAAUCGUGGAUCAGCGUGCCACGGUGAAUGCGUUCCCGGGUCUUGUACACACCGCC